GAUAACGUAAAAGAGAAGAUGAACAAAUACAGAAAAAAACCAAACCGUCGUCGAGAAACAUAGAAGAAGAUUUUAGAUCAUUUACAAAAAAAUAAAAAAAUAAAUAAACCAAUAAAUAAAAACGACCAAAAGCAAAUGACAGAAAAGCCUCUAGGGAAACCAACAAACGGCAAUGAAUUCUUGCCCCAUAACCUGGAGAUUCUAUCUUAAAAGGGGAUUGAAUCGGUAAAUUAAGCAAUUAUAAAUAAGGUUUUGCAGAAAUAUGUAGAUUUCCGAUUUGAAGAAAGAAAACUCAAAUUUAUGGAAAAAAUCAUGUCCGAUGGAAGUUCAACAAUUUUGUUUCGUUCCCAAAAUUUGUGUUUCCUCUGUUUUUCCCGGAAGUUUAAACUCUUACUUGAAAUUUGGAGCAACGUCGGCAGAGGCUUCCACCGGCAAACAAUGAGCGGCUGCUCCACUCCCACCUCCGACGGAAUUUGAAAUCUUCAAUUUUCUGUAAAGAUUUCUGUGAACGAUGUGUUGAUGCAGUUGAGGAGAUGUGUAUUGUGCAGAUAAGUUUUUUUUUUU
Molecule: long non-coding RNA, 564 nt
Filed under: Erythranthe guttata (spotted monkey flower)
Lineage: Eukaryota; Viridiplantae; Streptophyta; Magnoliopsida; Lamiales; Phrymaceae
Description: long non-coding RNA (EGUT_LNC002033)
Source: RNAcentral